Molecule: non-coding RNA, 111 nt
Organism: Dorea sp. 42_8
Lineage: Bacteria; Bacillati; Bacillota; Clostridia; Lachnospirales; Lachnospiraceae
Source: Rfam
CAUAUUAACAGGGGGAGCUGGAGAAAACCGGCUGAGAGGAAGCGUAAUUCCGUUUCGACCCUUUACCUGAUUUGGAUAAUGCCAACGGAGGGAUUCAUACCAUGUAUUGAU